Symphalangus syndactylus (siamang) is the source of this 389-nucleotide long non-coding RNA. RefSeq lists it as uncharacterized. Lineage: Eukaryota; Metazoa; Chordata; Mammalia; Primates; Hylobatidae. The record is from RefSeq and is a predicted model, not a curated record.
GAGUUUGAAAUUCUUGCUUCAGGCCAUAUGGAGUGGAUAUUCCUUCCAGAAGGAAAUUACAGACCACUCUCUGUUUCUACUCAACUGCUUUUCACUCCAGGAUGCUUCACCUCUUGGGGCCUUCCCCAGCAGAGGCCCAGGAUCACCAGCAAAAGGCUUCCCCAAGGGUGGGGCCAGAAGCAGGGCUGCAGAUAUGUGUCCUGAACCUCCCUGCUGGCUCCCUUCAAAGGCUUCAGGCAUAGCAACCUGCCUUUCUGUCUUGUUCAGUCGCCACCAGUCAGCCGUCUGCAGACUUCUCUCCCUCACGUUGUGGCAGAGGAGUUGUACAUUCUCUAGAUUUUAAAAAUGUAUGUUACUUUUUCUUUAAAAAAAAAUUGUCUCUGAAAUAA